Long non-coding RNA from Oncorhynchus keta (chum salmon), 1813 nucleotides. RefSeq lists it as uncharacterized. The record is from RefSeq and is a predicted model, not a curated record. Lineage: Eukaryota; Metazoa; Chordata; Actinopteri; Salmoniformes; Salmonidae. The transcript is spliced from 3 exons.
GGUACAGUAACCAGGACUGUGUUGUCUCAGGGGUAGAGGUUUUAACAGACUACAGUACCUGACAUCUCUGAAAGGACACUACAGGAUAACCAUGGGUUUGUCUGUUUGGUACAGUAACCAGGACUGUGUUGACUCAGGGGUAGAGGUUUUAACAGACUACAGUACCUGACAUCUCUGAAAGGACACUACAGGAUAACCAUGGGUUUGUCUGUUUGGUACAGUAACCAGGACUGUGUUGACUCAGGGGUAGAGGUUUUAACAGACUACAGUACCUGACAUCUCUGAAAGGACACUACAGGAUAACCAUGGGUUUGUCUGUUUGGUACAGUAACCAGGACUGUGUUGUCUCAGGGGUAGAGGUUUUAACAGACUACAGUACCUGACAUCUCUGAAAGGACACUACAGGAUAACCAUGGGUUUGUCUGUUUGGUACAGUAACCAGGACUGUGUUGACUCAGGGGUAGAGGUUUUAACAGACUACAGUACCUGACAUCUCUGAAAGGACACUACAGGAUAACCAUGGGUUUGUCUGUUUGGUACAGUAACCAGGACUGUGUUGACUCAGGGGUAGAGGUUUUAACAGACUACAGUACCUGACAUCUCUGAAAGGACACUACAGGAUAACCAUGGGUUUGUCUGUUUGGUACAGUAACCAGGACUGUGUUGACUCAGGGGUAGAGGUUUUAACAGACUACAGUACCUGACAUCUCUGAAAGGACACUACAGGAUAACCAUGGGUUUGUCUGUUUGGUACAGUAACCAGGACUGUGUUGUCUCAGGGGUAGAGGUUUUAACAGACUACAGUACCUGACAUCUCUGAAAGGACACUACAGGAUAACCAUGGGUUUGUCUGUUUGGUACAGUAACCAGGACUGUGUUGUCUCAGGGGUAGAGGUUUUAACAGACUACAGUACCUGACAUCUCUGAAAGGACACUACAGGAUAACCAUGGGUUUGUCUGUUUGGUACAGUAACCAGGACUGUGUUGACUCAGGGGUAGAGGUUUUAACAGACUACAGUACCUGACAUCUCUGAAAGGACACUACAGGAUAACCAUGGGUUUGUCUGUUUGGUACAGUAACCAGGACUGUGUUGUCUCAGGGGUAGAGGUUUUAACAGACUACAGUACCUGACAUCUCUGAAAGGACACUACAGGAUAACCAUGGGUUUGUCUGUUUGGUACAGUAACCAGGACUGUGUUGACUCAGGGGUAGAGGUUUUAACAGACUACAGUACCUGACAUCUCUGAAAGGACACUACAGGAUAACCAUGGGUUUGUCUGUUUGGUACAGUAACCAGGACUGUGUUGACUCAGGGGUAGAGGUUUUAACAGACUACAGUACCUGACAUCUCUGAAAGGACACUACAGGAUAACCAUGGGUUUGUCUGUUUGGUACAGUAACCAGGACUGUGUUGUCUCAGGGGUAGAGGUUUUAACAGACUACAGUACCUGACAUCUCUGAAAGGACACUACAGGAUAACCAUGGGUUUGUCUGUUUGGUACAGUAACCAGGACUGUGUUGUCUCAGGGGUAGAGGUUUUAACAGACUACAGUACCUGACAUCUCUGAAAGGACACUACAGGAUAACCAUGGGUUUGUCUGUUUGGUACAGUAACCAGGACUGUGUUGUCUCAGGGGUAGAGGUUUUAACAGACUACAGUACCUGACAUCUCUGAAAGGACACUACAGGAUAACCAUGGGUUUGUCUGUUUUGGUUUUGUGUUUAUUUGCUUGUUUCAUGAUUUCCCUACAUAUUGAUUACUUCCCCAUAAGGAGUAGAAAGGGGUGUGGUCCCGUUUGUUUAACCAUCUAC